This 483-nucleotide ribosomal RNA is filed under the name uncultured bacterium. Its description in RNAcentral is "partial 16S ribosomal RNA". It matches the Rfam family "Bacterial small subunit ribosomal RNA", at positions 28 to 523 of the family's 1533-position model. The record is from RNAcentral.
GACGAACGCUGGCGGCGUGCUUAACACAUGCAAGUCGAACGGUGAAGCAGAGCUUGCUCUGUGGAUCAGUGGCGAACGGGUGAGUAACACGUGAGUAACCUGCCCUUGACUCUGGGAUAAGCGUUGGAAACGACGUCUAAUACCGGAUAUGACCUUCGGACGCAUGUUCUGUUGGUGGAAAGAUUUUUUGGUCAAGGAUGGACUCGCGGCCUAUCAGCUUGUUGGUGAGGUAAUGGCUCACCAAGGCGACGACGGGUAGCCGGCCUGAGAGGGUGACCGGCCACACUGGGACUGAGACACGGCCCAGACUCCUACGGGAGGCAGCAGUGGGGAAUAUUGCACAAUGGGCGCAAGCCUGAUGCAGCAACGCCGCGUGAGGGACGACGGCCUUCGGGUUGUAAACCUCUUUUAGUAGGGAAGAAGCGAAAGUGACGGUACCGUAAGAAUAAGCACCGGCUAACUACGUGCCAGCCGCCGCAGUAA